RNAcentral lists this ribosomal RNA (797 nucleotides) under uncultured bacterium. Its description in RNAcentral is "bacterial SSU rRNA". It matches the Rfam family "Bacterial small subunit ribosomal RNA", at positions 8 to 796 of the family's 1533-position model. The record is from RNAcentral.
AGAGUUUGAUCAUGGCUCAGGAUGAACGCUAGCGGCAGGCCUAAUACAUGCAAGUCGUGGGGCAGCAGGACUGUAGCAAUACAGUUGCUGGCGACCGGCAAACGGGUGCGGAACACGUACGCAACCUUCCUUUAAGUGGAGGAUAGCCCGGGGAAACCCGGAUUAAUACUCCGUAACAUUAUGAGGUGGCAUCAUCUUAUAAUUAUAGCUCCGGCGCUUAAAGAUGGGCGUGCGUCUGAUUAGGUAGUUGGCGGGGUAACAGCCCACCAAGCCUACGAUCAGUAACUGGUGUGAGAGCACGACCAGUCACACGGGCACUGAGACACGGGCCCGACUCCUACGGGAGGCAGCAGUAAGGAAUAUUGGUCAAUGGACGCAAGUCUGAACCAGCCAUGCCGCGUGGAGGAUGAAGGUCCUCUGGAUUGUAAACUUCUUUUAUCUGGGAAGAAACCCACGGUUUCUACUGUGGUUGACGGUACCAGAUGAAUAAGCACCGGCUAACUCCGUGCCAGCAGCCGCGGUAAUACGGAGGGUGCAAGCGUUAUCCGGAUUCACUGGGUUUAAAGGGUGCGUAGGCGGGCAGGUAAGUCAGUGGUGAAAUCUCCGGGCUUAACCCGGAAACUGCCGUUGAUACUAUCUGUCUUGAAUAUCGUGGAGGUGAGCGGAAUAUGUCAUGUAGCGGUGAAAUGCUUAGAUAUGACAUAGAACACCAAUUGCGAAGGCAGCUCGCUACACGGUUAUUGACGCUGAGGCACGAAAGCGUGGGGAUCAAACAGGAUUAGAUACCCUAGUAGUCC